RNAcentral lists this small nuclear RNA (18 nucleotides) under Arabidopsis thaliana (thale cress). RNAcentral's name for it is "snRNA_05383". Lineage: Eukaryota; Viridiplantae; Streptophyta; Magnoliopsida; Brassicales; Brassicaceae. The record is from RNAcentral.
CUGGUGGAAGCCCGCAGC